RNAcentral lists this long non-coding RNA (14488 nucleotides) under Heterocephalus glaber (naked mole-rat). RNAcentral describes it as "lncRNA (ENSHGLG00000034875.1)". The record is from RNAcentral. Lineage: Eukaryota; Metazoa; Chordata; Mammalia; Rodentia; Bathyergidae.
GGUACAUUGUUGUUCCAUUUGAUUUCUAAGGCAUAGUUUUAUUUCUAAGUGCAGACUAGGCAAGGUGAGAGGUAGGUUAAACACGAUGAUGAGUGGAUGGCGGCUGGGAGAUGUUUCGGUUCACAGCUGAGUCUGUGACUUGGCUUUGUACCAAGCUAAUAGCACACUGGGCUUGAGCUCAAAUUUUACAGUUCCUGCCUGCUUUGGUCCCGGCAUGCUAGUACAUGCCGGCUAGCAUGUGCACAGCCUUUUACAUUGCAUAACUCCUUCUUGUGCCCCUGGCUGAAAGAAGCUAAAAUGCAGAUAAUUUAUUCAGCAUAAAUUAUUGCUAGCCUUAGCUGAAAUAGCAUAUACUUUUGAUCUUCUUUAGAUAUGGAAUCAAUGGGGAAUUGUUUGGCUACAAAGUUUUUCCCUACAUCUUUCAGUUAAAUCAAAUUCCAAAUCUUGAGGACAUCUGAUAUUCCUCAAGGACAUUAAAUCUAUAAAACCAGUGCCUCCUGAAUCACAUGCUCAAAAAUAGAAUCCAUAGUUUGUUUAGUGUGAGCUAUCAGUAACAUUUUAAACAUUUAAUUACAUUUUCAUUUAAUAAUUCAUUCUUGUAUAAUUAGAAGGUUAAGUUAUGCAACAUGUUUAUGUUUUAAAAUGUAGACAUUUUUCUGGGCUGGAGAUUUAGCUCAGCAGUUCCACCGCCUACCUCACAAGCCUAAAGUCCCAAGUUCCAUCCUCAGUACCAAAAAACAAAAAAAAUGUAGACAUUUUUCUUAAGUGUCUACACCAUUCUCUCUGGGAUUAAUCAUAACAACAUAUGCAUAGUAUUAAAAUUUUAAUGCUGUAGAUAUACAGGUUUUGUUACGUGUCCUGGCCCACCCCAUAGGCAGCCUUGGUGAGAUAUGCUUUGAGUGGUAAUAAAAACUAAGGACCAGAGAUUAUACACUUUUCAUAAGGCUUUUGAAGGUCAAUUAUUCCACCUUACUUGCUUCUAACUGCCCUCUGAGUAGACACACUUUACCCAACUCUAUGUCUGCUCAGGUCAUCAAGCAACCUGAUCAAGAGAUUUCGCACAAACCAGUUGAAGUGUGUGUGUUUUCCUACCAGACACCAUGCUCCCUGCUCGUCCAUUCAGACUGAACAUCUCACUCACCUGGAUGGAAGCCUGGGGGGCCUCAACCUGGCCAGCAGUCAGACUGCUGAACUGAUGAAGGUUGAUCCUAAUCAGCCUCGGUAUGACGGGUCAUCUGAGACACUCAGGGCGACAUGGGUGGCAGCACCAUGAAAAUUCCUCAGGAAACAGAAGCAUUUGAAAAUGAGACUUAAUGAAAAGCUUAUGGUUGCUUACAUGUGAAAUGAAAAUGUUUUAGGGCUGAGCAUGCCAGUGACCUAUUUUGUAAUCCUGAGCUUACAUCCAUGGCCCUCUCAGGAAUUGUGAAUAAGAUGUGUGGAACUGGAGACUGAAAACAUGAAACAAUUCAGAAAUAAUGUAAGGUUUCUGAUAAAUUAUAACAUAAUUUGGUGUUUCUUUGAAAAUGAAAGUGGAUAAAAGUUUUCCUUGUACUACAUUGUGAUUUGAAAGUCAUUUGGAGAAAAAACCAAAUCAAGGAUUCUAGCUUUUGUGCCUGAUUAUUAGACCCUCAUUAAAAACCCUGGGAAGCAGGUAGAAGGCAGGUAUUUGCUUCUAAGAUGUAGAGAUAUGAGCAAGCAGAGGUGGGGAUCCAGGGACCUGGCAAUGUUGCUCAGGUUCUGAGUUCUGCAGUUGUUCUUACUACCCUAACUGGACUGUAUUUGUGGUUGAAGUAUUCCUAGAAUUCUUGGAAAAUAAAGAUCCAACAGUCCCAGUGUGUGACUUCUACAUAUUCAUACUGAGUUGUACCAUAAGCUAAAAAUCUAUUAGCAUAAAUAUUUUCAACUAAAUCCUGAGGAACAUUUUGGCAUAGAUACAAGUCUUUUAGGUACAAGGAAGAGAUAAGAGACAAUAUAAGUCUAUUUCCAGCAGAGUCAUAUUGAGAAACUCCAAGUGGAACAAGGCCUGUAAUUCUCAACUUCAUAUCUGGAAAAUGGCCUCAGUUCUUAACCAACUUUUCUGUUAAAAUACACGUCUCUAUGUGUGAAUUUGUUCUGUAUUAAAUACAUAGGGAAUAAAAUCAUCAAAAUGCAAAUCAUCUUCACUCAAAGGAGAUUCUCUCCCCUCUGGUACUUUGCAUGGAGUCAUUUUUAUUUUGAGACAGGCUGUGGUCAAACUUGCAGUCCUCCUGUUUCAGCCUCCUGGAGUGCUGAGAUUACAAGUAUGUGCUACUGCAGUUAGUGGAUUUUUUUUCACCAAUAACUAAGCUUUGCACUACCAGGAAACAGUGGGUGAGGGUGAAAACCACUCAGGUGGCUGUGGUAACACACAGAGGCCACAACACUGGUGACAUAAACUUCAUCCUCUCUCUCACAUCCCAGUUUGCUCUCAUUGAUUUCUCUGAGAAUAUAGACCAUGCUGUUCUCUUGAGUUUGUGUAUUUUAGUGGAUAAAAUGAUUGAAUAUAGCAAUUGAAACAUCAGUGUUCUGUUUAUAAAAAUCCAGUGGUGAGCACAAAAGGGAAGUUUUUAAUAUUGAGGAGGAGCUAAAAAUGAAGGUAGGUUCUAAAAGAGAUGACAGUGAGAAAGUAGGUAAUGAGUCUAAGGGAAUGCUCAUUAGAGACAAUGCUAGGAAAGAGAGAAAGAGACAGAGAGAGGAAGAGAGAAAUGAAGUUGAGUUGAGCCCAUCUGGUGACUGGCAUGAAACUGUGGCUAUGAUUUAUACUGUAAGAUGCAAACCACCUUUCUGCUUUACCUUUUGUCAGUGCUCCUAGUUAGGCUCUGUCAGUGGAGGUACUAGAGGAAGACUAGAAGCCCAGAGAAGUAUCAGUUAUCUUGUUUCCAGUCUUUUCCUGCCCUUCUGGAACCUGACUCCAUUUACCAGCUUGGAGGGGACUUAUAGCCACUGGUGUAUUCCCUGACAAGAGAUCUGAGAUCCGGCCUAAUGAGAUCCCUCCUCUCAGUGCCUGAGAUGUUACCACCAGCCAGACAGAAUACUCCCACAGGAUGGCAAACUGUCCAAGUCUUCUUGGGACCUUCCUGGUUCAAACAUAGAAAGCCCGUGUCAUAGGGAAACCAGGAAUCGUGGUCAUAAUAACUCCUCUCAGAGGUUUGUACCACAGCUGUGUGAUGCUUCCUUUUUUGAAUUCUACUUCAUUCCUUUUUCCUAGCCCUCAGAGAUGCAGAUGCUUCCUGGAGAUGCCUGAGUGUUUCUCUUUUGUAUUAAUCUUUAUCUUAUUGUUGAGACAAAAUACCUGACACCUGCAGCUUAAAGGAGGACAGGUUUAUUUUGGCUCAUGAUUUCAGAGGGUUCAGUUGAUGGUUGGUUGGCUCCAAGGCAGAAAUAGCAUGGCAGGAGUGUGUGGUGGAGCAAAGUUGCCCAGUAUAUGGCAGCUAGGAAGCAGAGAGAAAAGAGAAGAGCUGGGGAAAAGCAUACCCUCUAUGAACCACCUCCAACUAGACCCCUCCUGUUAAGAGCACACUAAGCCAUAAACUCAUCAAUGGAUAGAGUGCCCUCAUGAUCCAAUCACAUUUCAAAGCCCCACCUCUGAAUACAAGAGACUUUGAGGGGACAUUUUAGAUCAAAACCAUAAUAUUCUUCAUCUUCUCAGUUAUUCAUUACCUAUUUAACUGAUCCCCCAUAUUAAAUUAAAACAACUUCCAUGUCAAUUAUCAUCUACUUUAAGUUGGUUUUACAAACUCCACACUGGAUUGAAGAUGAUGACUUAAUGUGAAAUACAGCAGGCUAGCAGCUUGGUAUAUGUGCUGCCGAAAUAAGCACCAGGCUAGCACCUUGGAUCAUGAGGAGAUGGCAUGGCAAAAAGUCCACAAAAGAUGGAUGUCUAUUUUAAGUCAAUGUAGAAGAAAUAAAUAAGAGACAGUGAGCAAUAGCUAUCCACUUCUGCUGUCACAACAUUGCAUCCUAAGAAUCAUGAUGUCCUUUCUUCUACUUUAUCUUCAGAAUUCAAGAGCCAUACUAUUUUAUAUACCUAAUUUCACUAACAGAAUUCUUGCUGUUUGUCAAGGUAAUGUGCCAAAAUACAGUAUACUUUAUUUUAAAAAUUAAAAAUGUAAGAUUUUAAAAGUAUGGUUAUUUUUUAGUUUUUUCCAUUUUUUUUUUAGUUCAUUACUUAAGAAACAGAAAAGGUGUUGAGUGUCUGUCCCAGUUCCAUUUUCCCAUGACCCAGUGUUUUAGUUUGGAUUUUCCAGCCCAAACUAAGGUCCUGAAAUAUGAAUUCUAGUGAAAGUGGUUUAGAGCUACUCCUGGGAAGCAUUAAUUCUCCAGUAUCUCUGUCCUCCAUGUUGACAGGUAAGGUGGCCUUCAGAGGACAGAAAACCCCAUGGCAGGAAUACAGGGCUAGGUGGGAGGUCUGGCUCACAUGCGAUAGAGCAAUGAGGGAAAAGGGAUGUGUUGUCAUUGCUAUACUUUGUUAUAUAGUAUCUGCUAUAUUUUAUCCCUUAAAAUUCUUUAUCAUGGAGAGUUUCAGGAACAGAAAUACAUCUCUGUCAGCUCAUGAUCUGUUCCUAAGGCUUUGGAACUAUAAUUCUUGUGUUGAGGAGUUCAUUCAUGGUAGAUACUAGGCUAUUCUGGGAUGCAUUUAAAAUUAGGGGCAAUAUUGAAAAUGGAACCCUGGGUUUCCAAAUAUAUCUUAUGAAAUUUUCAAGUAAUAUGAAACAAUUGAUAUUUUUAAAGGAGCAUGAGAGUUCUAAGAAAUAAGAAAUAUACUAACUGUCUCUGCAGAAGGAAAAAUUCAGGAGGGAGAGGAAAGGGGAGAAAAUGUAGCUACUGGUUAUGGGGAAGAAGUAAGUGUGGCAAGACAAAUACAAAUAGAAUAUCUCAAAAUAAAAGAUUUAAUAAAGUGGCUGGGCUGUAGCUCAGUGUGAAGGCCUUGGGUUCAAUCGCCAGUACCAAAAACAAAGUGUGGGCUGAGUGGAGGGGGAAGUAUAAUGAGUCAGAAAGACAAGGAAAGUGGAAGGUAGAUGACUGGCAUUUUCACUAAUAUUAAAUCAUGACUGAUUUACAUAAAUGAAAGAAACUCAAAGGGUAUUUUGUGAUCUAAUUUACGGGCAAGAAAGAGCUAGUGCCAGUGGGUUUGGGCAGACAUGAGCAGUGGGAAUGAGAAGGAGCCCUUUCAGAGUGAGACAAAAAUUUGCAGUAAGCUGAAAGCUGUGGAUUGCUUCCUCCCUACUCCCUCACCUGUAUUUCUACAGCAGAUUGUGUGGUCAAGGGCAACAUGAUGUAAAAUUCGUAUGACUCUGAAGUUGCAUUGUCAGUUUGGAUAGGUACCCAAAACAUUACCCACACAACCCAAUUUUUCUUGGGUGAAUUACUUAUAAAAAUAUGACUUUCAAUUGGAUCUAGCUAUUAUUUUCUUGUAGACUUCAUACAAGUGACACGGAGACACCUUUUAUUACUGUGUCUCUGGUUGGACUCCAGAAACGCCAGGAGAAGAUUUAUCUGUUCCCGAGGGAGCAUUUGGAACUAUCAAAAGUUGAUGACUUCUGUUGUGGUCUUUAGUGUGCCCUCAAUGAGCUCAUCUAUCUCUCAAGACCUUAUAAAUAAAAGUAGCUUAUCCUCUGACUUUGAUGCUGACCCUAGGAGAAACUGCUUGGGUGUGCCCCUUGGGUGAUGGGAACAUUCAUUGCCAACCAAUCAGUUUGGUGAUGAAUUUCUUGUAGUGGAGAGAAAAUAUUUUCUGUAUUUGUAGUCAUCUCCUAGACAGUGACUUGAGUUGCUUUUUAAAACUUAUUGACUAGAGACUGCAUGUGACAAAUUUCAGGUCUUUAGGUUCAAGUAGAUUUUAUUUAACUGUGUCUCCAGAUAAAAUUUAAAAUAGUUCUAGAUGAAAAUGAAAUGAAUUAAGGAGUUUUGAGAAUGUUGAUAAUGACUUAGGAUAUAGAACAUUGAGAAUUAAAAAAAGGACUACAAAAUGUUCUGACACUAUGCAUAUUUAUUUGAAGUGUGUUAUAAAUAAAAUGUAAUGACAUAAACUUGAGCUUCGAUUAGUAAUGAUCAGGAGCUGGAAUAAUUGUUCAUAGACUCAUUUGAACAUUACUAAUUCAGGACAUUCUAUUUGUACGGAAUUAUUUGUGUUUAUGAUUUUUCUGAGUUAAAAAAGAGUACCCUGAGGUCUUGCUCAGAGCAUGGGGAUUAAGCAUACAGAUCUCAUUAACAAUUUCAUGAAUUGUACAGUCUGCUUGAUUCCCAAAACACUUUACAGAAAGAGGUCUCUCUGCCAGUGUGCUGUAUACAACAACCACUUCCAGAUUGGAAAGCUUAGUGGAAUGACACAGUAUUGAGAAGCAAGCAGCCAUAUAGGAGGUCUGUCACUGAAAAUGUGGCUUUAGAACUAGACAUUUUCUCAGGACAGGGCUGAACAAGGAAGUUUGAACAGAUAAGACAUGACCAGGCAUGUGAUUAAACUUGGUAAUUUGAAUUUUCUUUAAGGGAAUUUUUUUACUACUAAUCUGGGUCUCAGAACUCUUGGACUCAGUGUGAAAAUAUGGUAGGCAUAGCAUGUCACAAAAAGAGCCCCCUUUGCCACAGAGGCAGUGUCACUGUGAAAAGAAUGGCCUUUGAUCUAGGCAGAUUUGGGUCUCUCAUUUACCAACUAAUUGACCUUAGGGGCUAUUGUUUAUCUUUUAAGGUUUGAUUUCUACCACUGAAAAGUGGGCACAAAAUUAUGACUUACUUCCUGGAUUAUGAUGAAGAAUCUAUAACAUAAAAAUUACCUAGUGCAUAGUCAGCACUCGAGAAAUUGUGACUUAAAAAAAAAAGCUCUUAGGCCCCAGAGAUCAAUCCAUUUUAGAAGCAAUUUCAUUAGAAUUUGCAGUUGUUGUAAACCAGUGGGCAGAUUGCCUGGAUUUGGGGUUGAAGGCAAUUUAAUUCCAGUGUCUCCAUUCUGCUUUGUCUAGCUUUGCAUUCAGGCCAUAAAAGGUAAGUUGGCAUCAGCAGCCAGCUGUUGCUACCUCCAUCUGAAUGCCAAUGUCCCUUCAUCUAUUGACAUAAGAAGAAAGUAAAUAAGAUAAUGUCCUCAGAAUUUUCUUUACACUAAACAUGUAAUUAGCCACUUACCCAUGAUGAGUAAAAUUUAAUUUCAGCUAAGUGAAAAGGAAUGCUGAUUAGAUUUAUUUUAUUAUCUGUUUACUUUCUGGGAAGAGGGCAGCUGGAUAAAAUCUCUUCUUGAGCUGUAUUUUUCACUUCCUGCAGUGCUUACCAAUGAAAUAUGCUAAAACUUGCAGGAACUGCACAUACAAAUGCAAAUAAUAAUUCUGUCGGCAUUUUCCUUCCUUUUAUUUGUUAGAGUUAGAGUUAGCAUGGCUGCAGAUGCUGUCUGCCCAAAUGCAGAAGCAAGAAAGGGCAAGAGGAUGCCUGGGAGAUAGGAGAGAAAAAGGUGUACAGGGCCUGUCCCGGGCAGUGCUGCCAACUAGUUACCACUUGGAGGGUCCUGUCCCUUUGCUGUCUCUCCUAUGUACCUCUCUGCCCAGGGACUUUGCUCGGCUUCAGCAGCUCAGUGCUCCAGUUGGAGCCACUUCUACCCCAGAAUUCCCAGCUGCUCCAAAGUUACUGCUCUCACAGUCCCCAUUUCCUAAGACACCAUUUCUGAAGGGCCUUUCUCCUAACAGUUGUAAGGAAAAACAUAGGCUAAAUUCCUGUGAAGCUGGUAGAAAAUGAUAACAGCUUUGUGCAUCUUCUCAUAAAUGUGGUAUUUUUAUAAAGUGGUUGCUUCCAAGUGUCAGUAUUUUAACUGUAAAAAUAAAUCACAAAUGGAGAAACUUUAAGCAGGGCUUCAAAUCACACUACAAAUUCAGCCUCAAACUUGGUUUUGUGUAUGGGGGACACCUGUGGGUUCUGUGCUGAAAAAGUGCUUGGAUAAAUUAAAGAAGGCUAAAGGUGUGUGGAAGGCAAGUGGCACAGUGUAGAGGAGAAUUUUUAAACGAUUCUAUCUGGAGAAUCCUGCUCUGGGAGGUAAUAAGCUCCUAAUCUUUGGAAGCCUGUAAGCAAAGCUGAGAAAGCUCCCUAAGUGAAAUAUUGUAGAGAGGACUCUACAUUAAGUACAUCAUUCAGGAUUGAUCCAGAGAGCCAAACCUACUUUACGUAGUCUAGACCGAGGAGAUUUAAUAUACUACAGAGAACUGAUGACAUUGGUCAAGGAGGCAAUCUGAAGAUUAGAUUGAAAAAGGAUCCAGUGCCCUUAGGGUUGCAGGGACAGGAGGGAAAGGUGUGUUUCAGGGCCUAGAGAAUGCAGGUUUUCUGGCCAGUGGUCACACUCAUGGGGCUGCCCAGAGGGAGCUGGGGCCAUGGAAAGAGGUGCUGCCUGGGCCUGGAGCCUCUGCUGGAGAUCUGCUAACCCCCAGGCAGGAAGAGGAGCACUGUGGCCUUUCCUUCUCUUCCCCCUCCCAGUGUCUAGCCAGUGCUCCUCAUGGGCUGCACCCACCUGCCAGUCUGUUAGCUUGGCUCCUGGGCAGUAGGCAGAGGCUCAGGGAGCCAUUUCCUUUCUGAUCUGAAUAGUGGGCAUUUGAACCAAAAAAACCUCUAAAUUUCUUUUCAAGUCUGACAAACAAAAGCAAAACACCUCUAUCAUUUAAAGAUGCCUCCGGUACAAGUAUCAGUCUAUUUCUAGAGAAAGAGAGCAUCAAACAUCUAGAAAAUAAGUCUACACCUUGCACCUUUUUGUUCGAGAGAAAAAUUAUUCUCUCACCAUCUGGUACCACAUAAUCUACACUUGGUGGAAUAUUCUUAUCAUGUACUGUGUCAGAAGCUAUUAUGUAAAGGUGGGACUUGUGGUGAUGAGUCCCUUUUGAGAAGCUGAACAUAAAUAGCUUAUUUGUUUGGACAAGUAUUAUGGUUAUUAAUAAAUAUUUCAAUAACACCAUAUACUGAACAUUGGGCUGAAAAGUAAACAAAAUUGUGCCAGAAGGAAAUAAAAGAACAAAUUCUCUGCUCUUCUUAUCUUCCUUGUUCCUGGUCUUAGAAUGGAAAGGUUUUGAUUGUUGAAUUUUUUAUUCUUAACUAAAAUAUCACUUUGCUCAUGUCUAGAGGUCUUGGAAACAGUGGUCACAAUGGCACACUUUAAAUGGCUUUGCCAGGCACUGUCAUGAUGGUUGUUCCUGGUGCCUGAGCACAGGCCCUUCCUUGGGUUACUUUGGGAUGAUAGUCGGGGGCACACGCAAGGUGUCUGUAGAUGCUCUUGUAUCAUUCUGACCUUUUAAGACACCGUGGCCCCUGCUUUCCUUCUCCCAGUCUUCAGAUGUUUUCCAGAAGCUGGGUGUCCAGAGCCUGUCCCUGUCAUGAAUGCAGUCAGCCCAGGUUGGCUUUGCUACAGCAGCUGGGUAGGACUUUCUUUAGGUCUGAUGAUCAGCUGGAUAUGAAAGCAGUUCCUGCCUUUAAAGUGGUGUCAGUGGGCAUAUUUUCAGAACUGGGGUGUGCUUUGCAGAGCUGCCAUGCAUCUGUUCAUGGCUAUCUUUGAAAAAAAGUGUGUUUUAACUCUGAAAGUCAUUGAGGGUGGGAGUAGGGUACUGAGGAAGCUGCCAAAUAUUCUGCUUCCUUGGCUCUGCAUGGUCAUCGGUUGGUUCAUCUCGUGGCCACACUCUCUAUUUGUCCCAUCUGCUUCUGGGACCCAGAAAUCAGAGUUGAGAGGGAAAGGUGUACAUGUGGAGGUAACUGAGUUUAAUUUGGUCAAUAAAAAGGAUUUCUUUCUAAUAUAACCAUACAACAUUUAACUUGAAUGGGCAUCAGGUGUGUUUUUCAUUAUUUCUUUAGAAAGACAGGCUUAUUGUUGAAAUGAAGUGAUCUCAAACUUAUAGGAUGCUAAGAUGCCCAGCAAACAAACAUUGGGUUUUGUCACCUCCCCUAAAAAUGCUGAAUUUAUUAUCUCGUAAUGUGCUGUCACUUGCUAGUGUAUUUCCUCCAUGUUUAGAUGUGAAGGAUGAAGUGGCAGAUGCAUCAUGUUCUCUCCCCCCUCCACCACCCCACUUGCCUUUUGAGAAGCUGAACAUAAAUAGCUUAUUUGUUUGGACAAGUAUUAUGGUUAUUAAUAAAUAUUUCAAUAACACCAUAUACUGAACAUCGGGCUGAAAAGUAAACAAAAUUGUGCCAGAAGGAAAUAUAAGAACAAAAUCUCUUCAGCCUAGGAACAGAGAACUUUCUUUUGUUUGCCACUGCCACCUGGUUUGCUGGACACCUUUUCCUGGAGCUCAGUUCACUCCUGGUACUUAAACAAGGAGUGCAGAUGUGCUCUGUGUCUGGGGAGGUGACAAGAUGCUGCCUAAGCUGAGGGGAAGGAAAGCUUAUAAUUACAGUUCAGAGUUCCUGUUUUAGAAAUACCAAUUCCUUCUAGUUCCACCACUGAGCAAAUAAUGUUGAUAGUAGCUCAUCACUUAUUAAAUAUUAACUCAGAUGAGGCAUUUCCAAUAAGUGACUUUCCUAUAACUAUCAUCAAAAUUGUCCUAAAAUAUGUUACCCAUGUACUUGCCUUUUUAAACAAAGGAUGUGGAACAUAUCUUAAUCUUUUCUAAAUAAUUUAUUGUAAUCAUUUUGGUUGUCAUUCAAUCCACUGGGUGCAUUUCAGGGUAGUGACCUCAAGGACUCUUUGCCACACGUUUUAAGUUACUUCAUCUACUUGCCAUAAGCAAUUCCUGCUUUCUUUGAGUAAAUAUUUAUUGAGCACUUCACCAUGUUUGAGGCAGUAUAAACACAAAGAUAUAUCCCAAAUGAAACCCACAAAGAUUUCUGCCCUUUGGCACUGCUGUGUGGCCAGGGAGGCAGGCACACCUACAAGGCCUUACAUUUAAUUCAGUGUGGCAGGUUGGACAGACAUUUAAUAGAGGGUCUCAUGUGGGGGAGAUGGGUUGGGUCAGAAAAGAUUGCUAGUUUUUGAAUACGGAUGCUGGUCCUGAAAUUCCCAUGUGUUAAACACUUGUUUCCUGGCAUGGCAAUAUUGGGAGGUACUAUGGACCUUUAAGAGAAGGGACCUAAUUGGGGUGUGGUGGCAUGUGGCUGUAAUUCUGUCACUCCGGGAGGCUGAGGCAGGAUGAUUGCAAGAGUGAGCACAGCCUGGUGACUUAGAGAGUUAAAAAAUAAAAAAGGUCGAGGAUAUAGUUCAUAUAAAAGCUUGAGUUCAAUUCCUAGUACUGCAAUUAAAAAGAGGAGGGGCAUUGUAGGAGGUCCCUACAUCACUGGGGUUGUGCACUGAAAGGGGGUUGUUGAACCUCAGUUGGUCAGUCUUUCUCUGUUUCUUGGCUCCUGAUGUGAGCAGCUUUCUCUGAUACAUGCUCCCUGCCAUUGCCAUCUGCUGCCCCAACGGAAGGCCUCUCCAAACUCGAAGAAGAACCUCCAGAACUGUAAGCUAAAUAACCCUUUUGUCUUUUAUAAAUUCAUCGAGCCAUUUCAUUGUAAUAACAGUGCUGACUAAUGCAAGAGUCAAUAUGUGGUUUGUUAUGGCUUUUGUCUUAGAUGUUCCCAAAGGCCCGUGUGUUGAAGGCUCAGACUCCAGUUGGUGGUAGAACCAUGAAAGGGUGGGGCCUGGUGGAAGAAAGCUCACUGGAGCCCACCCUUGAAGAGGAUAUUGGAACCCUGUCCCUUCCUUUUCUCUGUUUCCUGGAUGCCAUGAAGUGAGCAGUUUUCUCUGCCACAUGUUCCCCACCAUGAUGUUUUGCCAGGUCACAGGCCCCAAAGCAAUGGAGCCAUCUAACUAUGGACUAAAGUAAACUUUCCUCUUUUUAAGUUGUCUAUCUGAGCUAUUUGUCACAGUGAUGGAAAACUGAUGAGUAAGAGAUCCCAAGAAAGGACACCCCAGAAACUGAUUCCAGGAAUGCAAAGGUAGAUGGAUAUGGAAGUACUUUCCCUAAACCAGGAAGGCGUGGAGCAUCUGGAGUGGUGUCUGUGCAUGAGGUUCUGACAAAUGAGUCUGGAAGUGUGCCCUACCCCUAAGACUAAUUUUUCAUGUACCUUUGUGAUCAUUCUGCUUGCCUGCACCCCUCUUGUCCUUCUUGCUUUUUAUAGCCCCUCAUCUUUUGUUGGCUGUGCAACUAGAUAACCAAACUUAUCACAAUAAUAUUUCAAAGAACAAUCAGGUUCCAGGAAAGGCUUUCUCUAGGAACAAAGUGUAAGGGCUUUAGAUGUCUAUUUUGGCUUUCUACCCUUAUUUGCACAUUGGAUAAAUGAAAGACAGCAGAGCCGUGACAUCCAGAAGAACAUACAAUUGUUUCUCUUAAGGCCAAAUGGAGAUAUCAACAGUUAAAACAGAAUUCAUAUCCAUGAUGGAAGACAAAUGAAUCAGUGUUCGCAAAGCAUUUGGUGAGCUUUCUGUGAAUGAUGCUGUUGGAUGAAAGAACAUGGUUGUUUUUCUUGUGUGAUGGAUGGUGGAAACCUCUUUGAGAUAAAUCACAUCCGCUCCUAUCCACAUUGUUCCAGCUGCACCAACUCUGUACUUUGAUUCUUGGAUAACUCUCUGUUCAAUGUACAUUUAAGACCUUGAUAGAUAUCAAAAUAUCAGAGAAACUAUCAUAAAAAUAACCAACAUUAACAGAGCAGGAAGCAAGUACAACCUCCACUCUGUAAACUAGUAAGGGAUAUGAAAGAGAGAUAAUUGACACCAACACACAAACACAUACCCUGAUGAGACCUGGCCAUGGAGUUCAAAGGGAAAGUUACAGCCUGUGACAACGAGAAAGAACUUGGGCCUUGAAAUUGAAAUGCUUUGUGGAUAUACCCCACCCCUCAGUGCAUUGCAGUCAGCCUCUGAGGAGCCAUACUGUCAAGUUUAACUGACCUCAUCCCUGCUUCUCACUGCUGAAGCUUGGGAAUCCAGGUUCAAAUGAGGCUGAAUGUUUGGCUUCCAGGCAGGAACUGUCCUUUCUUCAGUUCCUCAGAAACAGAGCCCAGGUGCAGAUGUGCUUUGCACCAUACUCUCCUCCCACAGCCUCAGCCUUUCCUGAAGACCUCAGGUUCAUUGAUAGCUCUUGUCAGAAAGGAGGAGGGUGCUACUUGACUGAGAGCCAAGCAGGAGGCUCCACUGAGGCAGGCCAUGCUUCACAAUUGUUCUGAUAUUUUAUUGAGAGAACAAGCAUUUCAUUGAUACUUCUAUGUACAAAGCAUUGUGCUAGGUGCUAUUAAAGGAUUAAAAAUGAAAAGGUAUGGUUAUUUUUAAAGAGGAUUUUAUAUAUCUGUGAGCAAGAAUAUAUAUAAAUACAAAGAUUAGCAUAACCCAUGCACUCUGGUCACAUGAGAAUUGAAUUUAUUUACAAAGCUUGCUAGAAGGAUGUGUUCUUACUACUAACAGCAGAGAAGAUUCCAGCAGGGUGGACUUCAAGAGCAUGAGUCCCAUGCAGCUACCCAGGGCCCUGAACAUGGAAGGACCAUAGGCUUGGUCUAUUGCUAUGCUGUCACCAUCUUGAUUUCUUAAUCAUUUUUGAAUAGAGGCUCCACAUUUUUAUUUUGUAAUGGGCUCCAUGAAGUCUCUACUUGAAUCCAGGAGGGGGAGUGUUUGUAACAUGGCUUACCUUGGGACAUCAAAGUGGAGAAUGAAUGUAGUAAUAGAUUGGCUUGGCUGAGUUGAGAAACCUAUCUGUAAAACCUGUGGGAAAGAUCAGGUUCAGUUAGGGAAGACAGGGUCUCUAAUGAUGGUAUGGGUUUUCAGGGAGUUGCAAAGCAUAGCUAACAUUUCCUUUUUAUAUCAGUUAUGUAUUUUUGCACCUAACUUGUGUUAGCCUGUGAUUCUGCAAGCGACAAAUGUGGUGAGAAUAGUCUUGCCCCUUCCCUUUUGCCCCACACAGUGUGGGCACCGACUAUUCUGCCACUCCCACUCCUCCCCCAAUUGCACUUCAGUGUUGGGAACAGUGCUCCACAGAGCUAUCUUUGAGGGACAUUUAUGCCAAGUAUACUGGAAACUAUGUUGUCCAUUGUCACCAGUUCUUUACAAGGAGGAGUUGGGUAGAUUAAAAUUCACUCUAUUAAAUUUAUGAGGUGUGAGGAUCAAAUAUCCUACAUAAAAUUUAUGUUGUUUUAUGAUGUCUAAAUUAGGUUGAAAUCCAUCUGAUUAAAUUCCAAAUAAUCUGACUCCCCUAAAAUCUCCUCCAAGUUCACUCUCAGGUUGGCCUCUGGUCAUGGUUAAUAUUCAGGAGAGGUAAGAAAAGGGACUUCCCAUGCCCCAAGCUCAUGUAAUUAUUUUGGGUUAAGCAAAGGGGUGAAUGAAUUCAUUAAUAUAAACCACUGCUCAAGAGUUUCAUGCUGGGAGGAUUGCUGUUACCACUGAGGAACACAAAAUGUGAGCUGGAGACCCAAACUCCUUGGACCACCUAUAGGAACUUGGGCAUGCUCUUCUCUUGUCAGUUCCUUUCUCUUUCUGCUUCCUCUAUCAUAGUGAAAUGUUAUGAGGAUCAACUAUAAAUUGCAUAGUGUCCCAGUGAUCAAUUUAUUAUAUAAACCCACG